CGGCGACGGGUUGAAGUACACGUUGGGAACGUACCCUUUGGUUCGGAAUAACGCUGGGAAACUAGCGCUAAUACCGGAUACGCCCUUUUGGGGAAAGGCUUGCUGCCGAAGGAUCGGCCCGCGUCUGAUUAGCUAGUUGGUGGGGUAAUGGCCUACCAAGGCGACGAUCAGUAGCUGGUCUGAGAGGAUGAUCAGCCACACUGGGACUGAGACACGGCCCAGACUCCUACGGGAGGCAGCAGUGGGGAAUAUUGGACAAUGGGCGCAAGCCUGAUCCAGCCAUGCCGCGUGAGUGAUGAAGGCCUUAGGGUUGUAAAGCUCUUUUGUCCGGGACGAUAAUGACGGUACCGGAAGAAUAAGCCCCGGCUAACUUCGUGCCAGCAGCCGCGGUAAUACGAAGGGGGCUAGCGUUGCUCGGAAUCACUGGGCGUAAAGGGCGCGUAGGCGGCCAUUCAAGUCGGGGGUGAAAGCCUGUGGCUCAACCACAA
This 488-nucleotide ribosomal RNA is filed under the name Methylobacterium sp. UMB 3. Its description in RNAcentral is "bacterial SSU rRNA". It matches the Rfam family "Bacterial small subunit ribosomal RNA", at positions 96 to 618 of the family's 1533-position model. The record is from RNAcentral. Lineage: Bacteria; Pseudomonadati; Pseudomonadota; Alphaproteobacteria; Hyphomicrobiales; Methylobacteriaceae.